GCCCGUCCACUUGUGGUUUCAGUGAUUCACUUAGUAUUCCUUUGAUUAGCAUUCUGUAUGUGUCCAUUCCCACUUGGCGUGGUGUUCGCGAGUGUGCGUGCGUAUUCGCGAAUGGCGACUGCUCCGAUAAUAAUGGCCAGUAAUUAUUUGUUUACGCUCGCCGCCGUCGUCGUCGUCGUCGUUCACUCGAAUACGUUCUCUCACCCGACGUUUUAACUGAUCUCUAUUGUAAUAAUGUAUAUUGUACUGUAUUGUUGUUACGACUCUUUUACAUCACAACCUAAUUUUAUAUUUUAGAGUUAUGAGGUAUAUUUCGGGCUAACGGCUCCUUCACAAAUGCAAUUCAGGGCCGCUGUACUGUGUGAGUAUGGGACAUCCACAAUGUGAAAACCAUCAACAACCCCUCCGCUCGCUCUUCUUGUCCUCCGACCAAUCCACACACCCACAAUUGGUCUGUUGGCGUGUUUUUGAAAACAAUGAGGAUUCAGUUAUUAUGUUUCAAGUUGAG
This is a long non-coding RNA of Aethina tumida (small hive beetle), 508 nucleotides long. RefSeq lists it as uncharacterized. The transcript has 2 exons. Lineage: Eukaryota; Metazoa; Arthropoda; Insecta; Coleoptera; Nitidulidae. The record is from RefSeq and is a predicted model, not a curated record.